AUUGAACGCUGGCGGAAUGCUUUACACAUGCAAGUCGAACGGCAGCACGGACUUCGGUCUGGUGGCGAGUGGCGAACGGGUGAGUAAUGUAUCGGAACGUGCCCAGUCGUGGGGGAUAACGUAGUGAAAAUUACGCUAAUACCGCAUACGAUCUAUGGAUGAAAGCGGGGGAUCGCAAGACCUCGCGCGAUUGGAGCGGCCGAUAUCAGAUUAGGUAGUUGGUGGGGCAAAGGCCCACCAAGCCAACGAUCUGUAGAUGGUCGGAGAGGACGACCAGCCACACUGGAACUGAGACACGGUCCAGACUCCUACGGGAGGCAGCAGUGGGGAAUUUUGGACAAUGGGCGAAAGCCUGAUCCAGCCAUUCCGCGUGCAGGAUGAAGGCCCUCGGGUUGUAAACUGCUUUUGUACAGAACGAAAAGGUUUCUACUAAUACUAGGAGCUCAUGACGGUACUGUAAGAAUAAGCACCGGCUAACUCCGUGCCAGCAGCCGCGGUAA
Molecule: ribosomal RNA, 500 nt
Filed under: uncultured bacterium
Lineage: Bacteria
Description: partial 16S ribosomal RNA
Rfam family: Bacterial small subunit ribosomal RNA
Source: RNAcentral